RNAcentral lists this ribosomal RNA (864 nucleotides) under Benedenia epinepheli. RNAcentral's name for it is "eukaryotic LSU rRNA". It matches the Rfam family "Eukaryotic large subunit ribosomal RNA", at positions 34 to 658 of the family's 3401-position model. Lineage: Eukaryota; Metazoa; Platyhelminthes; Monogenea; Capsalidea; Capsalidae. The record is from RNAcentral.
UUUAGCAUAUCAGUAAGCGGAGGAAAAGAAACUAACCAGGAUUCUCUUAGUAACGGCGAGUGAACAGAGAUUAGCCCAACAUCGAAGCCUCUAUGCUUUUGUGUAGAAGGCAAUGUGAUGUAACGGUGUUCGGUUUCACAGACUGACUAACUUGAAGUCCAUAUUUGACUGUGGCUUGUGCGUAUGCACCCAGAGAUGGUGAAAGGCCCGUUCAAGUUGGUGUUCAGAAAUGACUGUCUGUGUAUAUCCGUUCACUAUUGAGUCGGAUUGCUUGAGAGUGCAGUCCAAAUUUGGUGGUAAACUCCAUCAAAGGCUAAAUACCUGUGUGAGUCCGAUAGUCAACAAGUACCGUGAGGGAAAGUUGAAAAGUACUCUGAAGAGAGAGUAAAUAGUACGUGAAACUACAUGGAGGUUAAACAGAUAGAGUCCAACUGCGUGUUGUUGUUCAUUGCAUUAUUCAUCAAAUGUUUCAUUUUGUGCAUUGAAGGCUUGUCGAAAGACAGAUCCACUUGUGGAUGUUCAGACAGUUAUUCAUGUUUGAGCGCCAUUUAUGUACAAUGAUGGAUAGUGUUUAUGGCAAUGACGAAGGCCACAGUCAGUUGACCUACCAGCACUCAGUACACGGCAGUUAUGCAGAUUGACUUUAAGUUGAUUGUAUAAUUGUUUGACAGUGGUCAUGUACGUAUGCUUGCAUGCGUAUGUGACAAAUUGGGCUACGGUCCGUUGUGUACUGAGUAAGCUGUGUGAUUAACUGGUGACAUAUGUUCAUUAAAUUCAUGAGUUUGACUAGCCUGCUAUGAAAACUUGUGAACGAACGUACGAACUGUGGUUUAGCGGAAGACUUUCUAUCUGACCCGUCUUGAA